UAGUAUUGCAACUCAAAAUGAAUUCAAAUCCUCUCAAGGUUUUUGUCUUUCUUCCCUUCUGCCAUCUUCAUUUUAUUUUUCACCUUUCUCUCUUGAAUUUCUCAUUUCUUCUAUUUUCUUCCCUUCUGCCAUCUUCAUUUUGUCUUCCUCCCCUUUAAUUUCUUCCUAAUUAGUAAUUAAUUAUUUGUUUUCCUCCUUGCUUAAACAAUCUUUCCCGUUGACUUGCCCAUUUCACCCCACUAUCCGUUCCGUUUCCGUUGGUAUAGGCCACUUCUUAUCAGCAAAGAAAGAAAGACAAACCCAAGGACGUAAACCGGCUGCCAUCUUUCCCGGUUGACUUGCCCAUUUCACCCCCACUAUCCGUUCCGUUGGUAUACGCCAACAAUUGUACAGAAGCCAUGUUUCCGACUUCUUAUCAGCAAAGAAAGAAAGACAAACCCAAGGACGUAAAGACUGCGUUGAGGAUAUGAAAUCUUGGCUUUUAUAUCUUCUGUUGAAGGAUCGGAAAUCUUGGCCUUUAUAUCCUCUGCUAUUCAAAUUGCCUAGGUCAGCACUUGAAGUUGCAAAGAAAAUGCUAACAAAACCUAGUCGCAACCCUGUGGCUGCAACAGUUGAAAAAGAAGCUGGAUGGCUACUUCUAUCCUCUCUAUUAUCUUCUAUGCCAAAGGAGGAGCUUCAAGACCAGGUUUUUGAUAUUCUCUCAUUAUGGGCUCCCCUCUUUGGUGGAAAUCCAGAACAAGAAAUUAAGCAAAUUGGGGAUUUGACACCAAGCAUUUGCUAAUCGAUCAAGGAUAGAGACUUCAAUUCCUCGAAAGCAUGGCCCUGCCAUUGCUGUUUAUGAGUCGGCAUUGAAUAAGUUCUUUGAGCAUGUUUUACAGGCAAAUUAAAUACCUGAAGCACUUCUUCACCAGUUCUGAUAGAUUUUAUCCAAGCAUAUUGAUUUCAGUGUCAUUCGUUGUGCGGUGAUUGCAAGCCCUGGUUUCACUAAGCAAUAUAUACAAUAGUCGAGUGUUUUAUUCUUCAGGAUCAGUUUCAUCGUCACUUAUUGUUGGAGGCAGAGAUGAGACAGCUGAGACCCAUUAUUGAGAACAAGUCACGCAUAGUGCAAGCUCAGGAUAUAAGCAUUGCUUGAGGGAGGUUCUUGAUGCCCCAAAUGUUAUGAACAUGAUUAAAAGACUGCAACACUCCCAAUACGUUUCUUUACGAAAGCACGACAAAAACGUGGUCCUUUUCUAUAUUUGUUUUUUCUUUUCCCUUUAUUUCUAAUAUCGUAUUCAUUCACAUCGGUCUGCCUUCUUGGUUCUUGGCCGGCUUUUUGCAAGUGUAUCGAGGACAUUUCAUCUGGGAUUUCGAUGGCAAAGUUUGAUUUACCUUUAAGUUUCUCACUUUAAUGGUGAAAUUCGAUUACUUUGUGAAAUCUUGCCCAUAAAUUCUUCUGGGUUUGCUUCAAAUUGCAUUCUCCAUCAUUCAUAACCUGUAUUCCACCUCAUUUUAGAUAUUGUUUGUGUUUUUGUAAUUUUUGGCCUGAAGAUCGAUCUGGGUGUGCUUCAGAAUCAGUAAUAUCAUCAUCCAGAAUCUCAAUUGCUUCUGCAAGUAUGGUUUCUUUGACUGGUUCAAUGUUAUUUCCUGCUACUGCACCGCAUGGCUCUACUGGGUCUGCUAGAUUCUCUAUUUGGAGUACGGACACAACCCUCUUCGUUCUGCUAUAAUCAGAGAAAGGUUCUCUGCGCUUGUAUGGCACCUCUGCGAAACAUAGGCCGCGAUGAAUAUCGAGCAACCAAAUUCAAUGUGUGACCAGGAUUCUUAUAAAUCAAAGCAAUUAGGGACGGUAUUGGAACCAGAGGAUGAUUCUGAUGUUCUAAUUGAAGGUUGGUGGCUUGGGAGAUGUUGUGACCGGUCUUGGAAAAGCACUAAAAAAGAGAGGACACCUUGUGGAAAUUAUUCUGCCAAAAUAUGACUGCAUGCAAUAUGAUGGUCUUCCUGUUUACUUUAUUGAGCCUCAACACCCUGACAAGUUCUUUUGGAGAGGGCAGUUUUACGGAGAACAUGAUGAUUUCUAUCGUUUUUCGUUUUUCAGCCGUGCUGCACUUGAAUUGCUUCUUCAAGCUGGCAAAAAACCAGACAUAAUUCAUUGCCAUGACUAAUUUAAAAUUUGCUUCUGCCUUAAUUUUCUUACAGUGCAUGAUCAUACAUUUUACAACUACGGAAAACUAUAUGAAUGGGUCAUUUGAUUCUCUGUUUGGAGUUUUCUUGAAUAUUUGUUAUUUUCUUUGUGAAUGUGCAUCCAAUCCUAGAAGUCUUUCAUAUUUUAUUGAAUACGUGGGCUGCAUAACAAGAAUGGUGCCACAGAAAGGUGUACACCUUAUUAGACAUGCAAUAUACCGUACCCUAGAGUUGGGAGGACAAUUUCUACUACUUGGCUCAAGCCCAGUUGCACAUGUAUUUCUCUUUAUGCUACUGAAAAAUAUGCAAUGCUCUGUAUUUUGCAUAUAAUGUUGUCUAUAAGAUUUUGAGAACAAACACACACAAGCGCGCACGCGAAUAUAUGCAUUUGGAGAAUGCAUUCCCAUGGUUGCUUCCUCCUAAAGCAUCCAAUCACUAUUUCAAGGUGCUUUUAGAUGCUUAACUGGAAAACAGAAAAAGCAUCUCUCAAUUGACUGCCUUACUUGGAGAAUCUAAGACAGUAUUUUGCAAAAAGAAUAAAAAGUCUUGAUCACUAUGCGUAAUGGAAGUAACAUGCUUGCUAUGUGGACAAACAAAUACAUAUGCAGAUAGUUGAAUUUAUGAAAUCUACAUGUGAUUUCGUGAAUGCACACCUUUGGAAAUGAGCACUGGUUUUCAUUUACUAAACUAUUCUUUUCCUACUCCUCUGUCAGUUCCAAGCUUACUCCUCUGGACAGAUACUUUUAGUUUACUUGUUCAUUUCUUUUGUAGAGGGAAUUUGAGGUAUCGCAAAUCACUUUCAGAAUCAUGAGCACAUUCGGCUGAUAUUGAAGAUGAUUAACCUCUUUCUCAUUCCAUUUAUGCAGCAUCUGACAUGUUCUGUCAUCCCAUCUAUCUUUGAGCCUUGUGGCCUUACACAGGUAAAGCUAUCAAUCUUGCCUAUGCAAAUUUUCUAGAAUGGCAAAUAACCGAGUAUUCACUCCUAGUCCAAUGAUAUCUGGUGGAUUUGAGAGUGAUAUCUUUAUAGAUCUCACUUUGAAUCAGUGACCUAGUGAACAUAAAUUAAUAUUUUAGGAUAAUUCUUGGGGCUUGAGGACUCCGGGGGACUUAACAUAAGAUUUUAUUCAUAACAUAUGUGACGAGCUUUUUGCAUAUUCAACAACUUUCCUGAAAUUAUUUACAAGUAUCAUGAUUCAUCAACUCAUUAUUUUUUCUCUCCCCUAGUGUCUUUGAUGUUGAUGAUGAGACAAUUCCUCUUCAGUUUCGAAAUGGAUAUACAUUCUUGAAUCCUGAUGAGCAGGCAAUUGACUAGAGCUGGUUACUUGAUUUUUAUCUUAAUUAGGUUGCUAUACCUAAGCUUUGAGCUAAUAGAACUUACUAGUAUCACCGGUCAAUCAAAAGAUGAGCCUGCAGGCUGCAUGAUCUACAAUACAACUACAAUUAUAAUCUCGACUGUUCUGAUGGUUCAAAAUGUUCCUCUGUUUUGCGAUUUUGUCAGAUUUGUAUUUAACAUGCUAUUCUUGACUGUUAUUCUGAUGGAUAAAACAUUUGCAGGGAUCGAAUGGUGCUUUAGAACUUGCAUUUAACCAUUACAGGAACGAUCCUGAGAACUAUAGCGACGAUUUGAUUUCAACUACCUGUAAUUGUUUCAUUUUCAUGGAAUUUUCUGUGGGAAAUUUAUCCUUUCAGAGUAGAAGAUGACAGUUCUUUUACAAGACAGUCGCAGAGAAGAUGCACUUUUAGCAUGCAAAAAUUACAUUAUGCUUUGAAUUAAAUCACAACAAUUUACAUAUCAUCACAGCCCAAUAUAAUCUGAAGUUCAAACAUAAAAACUCUCCUUUUUUUUCUCAUGUGGGUCAUGGUACAAAUUUCUGCAAGUGUGAGUAGACUAGGGAUACCCAACUAUAACUGGUGGUCUGAGGCUUGGUCUCUUUUGUGGGUCGUGGUACAAAUUUCUCCAAUGUCCUACCUGCAGCUACAAGGCUUUCGUCCUUUUCCAAGCCAUUGGAAAGGCACUUUCUACUGAAGGCAGGGCCAUGCAGAACGUAGGAUUGACAGGCUUGACGUUUUGGUCGCCAAAUGUUAAACAUUUUUCGUGAUCCCAGAUGGGGAAGAGGCUAAGAGGCCCCUGGUUAGAAGUCCAUUUAUUAUUUUUCUUUUGUGUGCUUUUGAAUUGUGAUAAUUCAGGUAACAAAGCAAGACAUGGAAGAUACAUUUCAACCUCCAUUUAGAAGUUGUGUUCUUGAUGGUAAUGUUGCCAGUGUAAUGUGUUCCUACAAUCAGGUCAAUGGUAAGCCAACAUGUGCUGAUCCAAAUCUUCUUUCUGGGGUCAUUCGAGGCGAAUGGAAAUUGAAUGGAUACAUAGUUUCUGACUGUGAUUCAGUAUAUGAGUUCUUCAAUGGACAACACUAUACCAAAACACCAGAAGAAGCUGCAGCUACACAAUAUUGGCAGGUCUGGAUCUCAAUUGCUGGUGAUUCUUAGGCCAGCACACUGAAGUCUUGGUCCCACUAUGAUGAGUCGAAUAUUGACAAGGCUGUCUCAAAUAAUUUUGCUACUAUGAUGAGACUUGGUUUUUUUUUAUGGUGAUCCUACCAAGCAAAUCUAUGGAAAUCUUGGUCCAAAACAUGGUAUCCACUAUCAUAAGUACCAAUGACAAACAUGAACAUGAGAGCAGAUCCUUUGACGGGCUAUCCAGGCAGAACCUAUAGAUUUCAUACUGGAGAAACUGUUUAUUCAUCCAAGAGCUCCAAGCAUAGCCCAUCUGCAGUGAAUCACUUCAAGCUCACGGUUCUUGACAAAAGUUUCUGAGUCAGCACAGAGACCAACAAUAUCCCAUCCAUAGUCACCUGGGAACUCACUAGUCAAGUAAGACGGAAGCUCACUGGAGAAUGGACAUGGCCAUUGCCCAUGAGCUUAGGGGCAAAUGAGAAGAGCUUCACCGCCUUGCUAGUGGAAGUGGUGGGUGGAAAAGACAAGGGGUCCAAUGGGUAUUAAUAGAUAGUUGGUGAUGGAUUUCCUUAUCUCAGUGAAAUCUACGUUCAUGAUUCCAUAAGAGCGGUAUUUAAAUCUGUCACUUCAUUGGAAGAUGUAGAUUUUAUUUGUUUGUUCUUUUUAUCCGAUAUGAUAUUUUUUGGACCGCUAAAUUCUUAUAUUUAUUUAUUGUUCAUAUGGACGUUUCAUAUUUA
RNA transcript from Manihot esculenta (cassava), 5351 nucleotides. It is a transcript of the gene named protein SWEETIE-like, with no coding region annotated. The record is from RefSeq and is a predicted model, not a curated record. NCBI's taxonomy places the organism in Eukaryota, Viridiplantae, Streptophyta, Magnoliopsida, Malpighiales, Euphorbiaceae. The transcript is spliced from 14 exons.